GAUGAACGCUAGCUACAGGCUUAACACAUGCAAGUCGAGGGACCGGCGCACGGGUGAGUAACACGUAUCCAACCUGCCCUUUACUCGGGGAUAGACUUUCGAAAGAAAGAUUAAUACCCGAUAUCAAGGAUGGGGAUGCGUUCAAUUAGGUUGUUGGUGAGGUAACGGCUCACCAAACCUUCGAUGGAUAGGGGUUCUGAGAGGAAGGGCCCCUACAUUGUAACUGAGACACGGUCAAAACUCCUCAGGGAGGCAGCAGUGAGGAAUAUUGGUCAAGGGGCGCUAGCCUGAACCAGCCAAGUAGCGUGAAGGAUGAAUGCUUAUGGGUCGUAAACUUCUUUUAUAUAAGAAUAUGUAUUAUAUUAAUAAGGAUAGGCUAACUCCGUGCCAGCAGCCGCGGUAAUAC
RNAcentral lists this ribosomal RNA (406 nucleotides) under uncultured bacterium. RNAcentral describes it as "partial 16S ribosomal RNA". It matches the Rfam family "Bacterial small subunit ribosomal RNA", at positions 28 to 526 of the family's 1533-position model. The record is from RNAcentral.